Picea glauca (white spruce) is the source of this 123-nucleotide non-coding RNA. The record is from Rfam. Lineage: Eukaryota; Viridiplantae; Streptophyta; Pinopsida; Pinales; Pinaceae.
AUGUACACUCCUACAACAUAGAAUUAAUGCACCAUAUCCUAUUAGAACUCUUCAUUUAAACAUGCUCAGGCUAGAGUAGUACUGGGAUGGGUGACCGCUUAGGAAGUAUUAGUGUUUUACAUG